UACGGGGGGAGCAAGCGUUGUUCGGAUUUAUUGGGCGUAAAGCGGGUGUAGGUGGCUCUAUAAGUCAGGAGUGAAAUCCCCGAGCUUAACUUGGGAAGUGCUUUUGAUACUGCAGAGCUUGAAUGUGGGAGAGGAUAAUAGAAUUCCAGGUGUAGUGGUGAAAUACGUAGAUAUCUGGAGGAAUACCGGUGGCGAAGGCGGUUAUCUGGCCCAACAUUGACACUGAGACCCGAAAGCGUGGGGAUCAAACAGG
Molecule: ribosomal RNA, 253 nt
Filed under: uncultured bacterium
Lineage: Bacteria
Description: partial 16S ribosomal RNA
Rfam family: Bacterial small subunit ribosomal RNA
Source: RNAcentral